CGCGGGAUGGAGCAGUCUGGUAGCUCGUCGGGCUCAUAACCCGAAGGUCGUAGGUUCAAAUCCUGCUCCCGCAA
Enterococcus hermanniensis is the source of this 74-nucleotide transfer RNA. It matches the Rfam family "tRNA". From Rfam's summary of the family: Transfer RNA (tRNA) molecules are approximately 80 nucleotides in length. Their secondary structure includes four short double-helical elements and three loops (D, anti-codon, and T loops). The record is from Rfam. Lineage: Bacteria; Bacillati; Bacillota; Bacilli; Lactobacillales; Enterococcaceae.